UAUAUUUUAAUGUAUUAAGCAUAUAAAUUUUUGAAAUUUUUAGAAAUAGUUAAAACUAUUAAUUAUAA
This 68-nucleotide transfer RNA is filed under the name Binodoxys communis. RNAcentral's name for it is "tRNA-Gln". Lineage: Eukaryota; Metazoa; Arthropoda; Insecta; Hymenoptera; Braconidae. The record is from RNAcentral.